Molecule: ribosomal RNA, 496 nt
Filed under: uncultured bacterium
Lineage: Bacteria
Description: partial 16S ribosomal RNA
Rfam family: Bacterial small subunit ribosomal RNA
Source: RNAcentral
AUGAACGCUGGCGGCGUGCCUAAUACAUGCAAGUCGAGCGAACAGACGAGGAGCUUGCUCCUCUGACGUUAGCGGCGGACGGGUGAGUAACACGUGGAUAACCUACCUAUAAGACUGGGAUAACUUCGGGAAACCGGAGCUAAUACCGGAUAAUAUAUUGAACCGCAUGGUUCAAUAGUGAAAGACGGUUUUGCUGUCACUUAUAGAUGGAUCCGCGCCGCAUUAGCUAGUUGGUAAGGUAACGGCUUACCAAGGCGACGAUGCGUAGCCGACCUGAGAGGGUGAUCGGCCACACUGGAACUGAGCCACGGUCCAGACUCCUACGGGAGGCAGCAGUAGGGAAUCUUCCGCAAUGGGCGAAAGCCUGACGGAGCAACGCCGCGUGAGUGAUGAAGGUCUUCGGAUCGUAAAACUCUGUUAUUAGGGGAGAACAAAUGUGUAAGUAACUAUGCACGUCUUGACGGUACCUAAUCAGAAAGCCACGGCUAACUACGUG